AUUGAACGCUGGCGGCAUGCUUUACACAUGCAAGUCGAACGGCAGCGGGGUAGUGCUUGCACUACUGCCGGCGAGUGGCGAACGGGUGAGUAAUAUAUCGGAACGUACCGAGUAAUGGGGGAUAACCAAUCGAAAGAUUGGCUAAUACCGCAUACGUCCUGAGGGAGAAAGCGGGGGAUCGCAAGACCUCGCGUUAUUCGAGCGGCCGAUAACUGAUUAGCUAGUUGGUGGGGUAAAGGCCUACCAAGGCGACGAUCAGUAGCGGGUCUGAGAGGACGAUCCGCCGCACUGGGACUGAGACACGGCCCAGACUCCUACGGGAGGCAGCAGUGGGGAAUUUUGGACAAUGGGGGCAACCCUGAUCCAGCCAUGCCGCGUGUAUGAAGAAGGCCUUCGGGUUGUAAAGUACUUUUGUUAGGGAAGAAAAGGGAAGUGCUAAUACCACUUUUUGCUGACGGUACCUAAAGAAUAAGCACCGGCUAACUACGUG
RNAcentral lists this ribosomal RNA (490 nucleotides) under uncultured bacterium. Its description in RNAcentral is "partial 16S ribosomal RNA". It matches the Rfam family "Bacterial small subunit ribosomal RNA", at positions 30 to 507 of the family's 1533-position model. The record is from RNAcentral.